AUGGAGCCCAACAUGCGGAUGUGCCCUCCGGCGGCAGCAGCAACCACACGAUCCAGGGAGACGACAGCAACCACACAAUCGCAUACGACGUACCUUCUGGCACUGGCAACCAGACCAUUGCAUACGAUGUACCUCCUGGCGCCGGCAACCAGACCAUUGCAUACGACGUCCCUCCUGGCACCGGCAACUGGACGAUCGCUGAAGACCACGGCAACUGGACGAUCGCUGGAACGGACGAUCGUGAGCCACGGCAACUGGACGAUCGCUGAAGACCACGGCAACUGGACGAUCGCUGAAGACCACGGCAACUGGACGAUCGCUGAAGACCACGGCAACUGGACGAUCGCUGAAGACCACGGCAACUGGACGAUCGCUGAAGACCACGGCAACUGGACGAUCGCUGAAGACCACGGCAACUGGACGAUCGCUGAAGACCACGGCAACUGGACGAUCGCUGAAGACCACGGCAACUGGACGAUCGCUGAAGACCACGGCAACUGGACGAUCGCUGAAGACCACGGGACGAUCGCGGAAGACCACGGCAACGGGACGAUCGCGGAAGACCACGGCAACGGGACGAUCGCGGAAGACCACGGCAACGGGACGAUCGCGGAAGACCACGGCAACGGGACGAUCGCGGAAGACGUGAAAGCCCACAUUGUUCAUAGAACUUGAACAGGUUUUUGGUACCUUCCUGCUUUUAUGUAAAAAUAAAAAUUUUAACCAACAUUUUUGUGUUUGACUCAUUUCCCACUGACUUAACAUGGUUGCGACAGUGGCGCAGAUGGUAGAGCGGGUCGUCUCAUGAUCGGAAGGUCGUGGGUUCGAAUCCCGCCUCCUGACUGUGCACAUUGUCGUUGUGUCCUUGGGCAAGGCACUUCACCCACAUUGCCUCCAGUGUCUGCCUACACUGGUAGCCCCCUAGGAGAGACCAACAGGCCCGGUUUGAACCGUGAGGCCGUCCUUCCGUGGACCCACCACCUGCAGAAGGAGCCAUGGGGGGCUGGUGCAAUGUGAUUUGGGCAGCUCCGGCGGCUGCCCCCACGACCCGGCAACGGACAAGUGGAAGAAAAUGGAUGGAUGGAUGGAUUAACAUGGUUGCACAGCAAGUUUAAAAUUUACUUUAUUCAAUGUCACUUCCUGUCGGUGUCCAAUAAGGAAGUGAAACUAAAAACAUCACAUGGUCAAACUAAAGAGAACUGGGUAUAUUCUUUAGCAAAAUCUUAA
RNAcentral lists this long non-coding RNA (1227 nucleotides) under Neogobius melanostomus (round goby). RNAcentral's name for it is "lncRNA (ENSNMLG00000024678.1)". Lineage: Eukaryota; Metazoa; Chordata; Actinopteri; Gobiiformes; Gobiidae. The record is from RNAcentral.